AACGCGAAGAACCUUACCUACCCUUGACAUCCUCGGAAUCCGCUAGAGAUAGUGGAGUGCCUUCGGGAACCGAGAGACAGGUGCUGCAUGGCUGUCGUCAGCUCGUGUCGUGAGAUGUUGGGUUAAGUCCCGUAACGAGCGCAACCCCUAUCCUUAGUUGCCAACAGGUUAUGCUGGGAACUCUAAGGAGACUGCCGGUGAUAAGCCGGAGGAAGGUGGGGAUGACGUCAAGUCCUCAUGGCCCUUACGGGUAGGGCUACACACGUGCUACAAUGGGCAGUACAGAGAGAAGCGAAGCCGCGAGGUGGUGCGAAUCUUUUAAAAGCUGUUCGUAGUCCGGAUUGGAGUCUGCAACUCGACUCCAUGAAGUUGGAAUCGCUAGUAAUCGCGGAUCAGAACGCCGCGGUGAAUACGUUCCCGGGCCUUGUACACACCGAUACUC
This 442-nucleotide ribosomal RNA is filed under the name uncultured bacterium. RNAcentral's name for it is "bacterial SSU rRNA". It matches the Rfam family "Bacterial small subunit ribosomal RNA", at positions 958 to 1398 of the family's 1533-position model. The record is from RNAcentral.